This is a long non-coding RNA of Brassica rapa (field mustard), 2118 nucleotides long. RefSeq lists it as uncharacterized. The record is from RefSeq and is a predicted model, not a curated record. NCBI's taxonomy places the organism in Eukaryota, Viridiplantae, Streptophyta, Magnoliopsida, Brassicales, Brassicaceae.
GCCUUGAAUUUAGUCCCUUUUAUAUAGUAGGAUAGCCAUGCUAUAGUUUUUCUCGGGAGAUGAGAUAAUUUGCACACAAAUAUGACUAAAAUCUCCUUUUAAGCGCGUGCGCGUGAUGUUGAUACUCCAAAACCAAAUUUGUCAUACUAUACUACAUACAAUAUAGUAUCGUCAUACAGAAAAGUUAAAUAGUUGCGAGGUUGAGUUUGAUCCAUUUCGUAGUUGUACUAUACAUGAUUAUGAAAUAGUAUAGUACUAUAAGCAAAGUAAUGUAUAGAAAAAAACAAAAAUGGUGGACAUGCGAGAUAAAUAAACAACCUAUACUAAACAAUAGUGUAAUUUCCUAUCAUCUGCUGCACUAGUCAAGUCAAGCAAAACAAAAACACGCAAUCUAUGGAACACAAUAAGGCCAACACACGCACAUGAUAGUUUCAUAUAGUAUGUGACAAUACUAUACAUAAUUACGACAUAGUAUAAUAGUAUAAUCAAGUAGCGUGUAAAAAGGAGGGAGGGAGGGAGAGGGAGGAAUGGAGGGAGAGAGAAGGAGGGAGGGAGGGAGGAACUGGGAAAGUAGUUGUAAAACUACCUUUAUAUUCUAUAUUUAUUAUAUAGAAUAGAACAUAACAAAAUAUUGCAUUCUAAUUUGAACUGAUAAUUUUUCAAAUCUGAUGGAUGUAAGAAUACAUAUGAAUUGAAUCACCAGAUCAUUAAUCACUUGAAUGUUUCUCUAAUAUAAAAAACCUAACAAAAACACUUUGAAAAAAAAAAUUAUGUUGUAUUCUAUGAUUCCUACUAAAAUAGAAUAGUAUAUUGUAAUGGUAACUGUUUAUCUUCUUCAACAAUUUUCAUUUCUCUGGCAAUUAAAGUAGACGAACAGUUUGAUAAUCAACCUUCUAUAUCGAUCAUUGUUGCAUUCGAGUUAUACGAACAAAACCACCGCCGAGCUCAAGCUCCGUUUACCACCAUUCUUGGAGCCGUCGUCGUUUCUACUUCUUCUUAGCGAUGUUUCCUCAUUAUUUAAUUCUUAAGAUGAGUAUAUAUGAUGUGCAUACGGUUCAGUUUCAUUUGUAAUUCUUAGAAAAACAAACAUAAUAUUAAAAAAAAUCAUUUAUCUAAUAAAACACACGCGCAGGAUAGUUUUAUCAUUAAUACAUAAUAUAUAGAGAAUACUAUAGCCAUCAAAUUGUUAUGGGUAUAGACUCAAUAUUUUUUCUGCUAUGUACAUGGCCCCUAAUUUCCCAAAUUUAAAUGCAUAAAGCGUGUAAAGUCGAAAAGAUCCUUAAUGAAAUGAGUUUAUUAUUAGAUCCAACCUAAUCUAUCCGGUCCACCCAAACCUAAACGGGUUAAAACCCGGAUCCUAACCCUAGUUUCCUCUUGCUCGCGAAAUCCUCCCAUUUGGUCCAUCUCACCAUCUCAACUUUCUUCUAUUGGGACAGAGAUACGAGCCACAAUCAUCAAUUGCAAGGUUGGAAAAUUUUCCCCGUCUUAUACUAAACCCUAAAAACAUUCUUCACCGUUCUUCUUCUUCUUCCCAUGAUCUCCCUGUCUCUUCGAAACUCAGUCGCCCAGGUUGUGGAUCUGGCCUGAGCGGGGAAACAAUCUCAGAGAAUGAGCACCAAUGGAUAGGUCUCGACAUCUCAGCCUCUAUGCUUAACGUUACUUGGUGACAUGGGGCAGUGAUUAUAAUACUGAUCAUAAUGACCUUUGCGAUGAUAAAACGAUGCUCAAGAUGCAAAGAUAGCAGCGAAAGCGUGCUGAUAAGGAGAACAGAGAAAGGAGAGGCCGUGUGUUCUGGACGACAGAGAAGCCAAUCAAGAUAACUUGCACCAUUUUCCAGAGAACAAAAAAGUCUUCGAGAAGAGCGGAAGGUCCUAAGCAGUUCUUUGAGCGUUGUGAGAGUAUUGGUAUUGGAUCUUCUGUCUGUAAUAUCAGGGAGGCGAGUUGUCGAACCAUAACUACUAAAUGAACACAUACAGUUUUGUAAUCACAUCAGAUUAAAUAUAGAAAAAGAUUUAAAUUCAUCUUUUAUUUAUUUUUGUUUGUUUUUUUAUUUAAAUAAAUGUUUAUAUUUAAUUAUACACUCAAUUUUGAUUAGUGUAGUUUUCAUUAUCUUCUUUA